This 519-nucleotide ribosomal RNA is filed under the name Rhipicephalus evertsi evertsi. RNAcentral's name for it is "SSU rRNA". It matches the Rfam family "Eukaryotic small subunit ribosomal RNA", at positions 65 to 576 of the family's 1831-position model. Lineage: Eukaryota; Metazoa; Arthropoda; Arachnida; Ixodida; Ixodidae. The record is from RNAcentral.
UCAUGCCGAAAUAAGGCGAAACCGCGAAUGGCUCAUUAAAUCAGUUAUGGUUCCUUAGAUCGUUUCUUCCUACUUGGAUAACUGUGGCAAUUCUAGAGCUAAUACAUGCAGUGAGCCUGGAGCCCUUUGGGUAACGGGUGCUUUUAUUAGACCAAGAUCGAUCGGGUUUCGGCCCGUAUUGUGUGGUGACUCUGGAUAACUUUGUGCUGAUCGCAUGGCCACGAGCCGGCGACGUUUCUUUCAAGUGUCUGCCUUAUCAACUUUCGAUGGUAGGUUACUUGCUUACCAUGGUUGUUACGGGUAACGGAGAAUCAGGGUUCGAUUCCGGAGAGGGAGCCUGAGAAACGGCUACCACAUCCAAGGAAGGCAGCAGGCGCGCAAAUUACCCACUCCCGGCACGGGGAGGUAGUGACGAAAAAUAACAAUACGGGACUCUUUUGAGGCCCCGUAAUUGAAAUGAGUACACUCUAAAUCCUUUAACGAGGAUCAAUUGGAGGGCAAGUCUGGCCCAACCAGCCA